AGCGAACGCUGGCGGCAGGCCUAACACAUGCAAGUCGAACGGACCCUUCGGGGUUAGUGGCGGACGGGUGAGUAACACGUGGGAACGUGCCUUUAGGUUCGGAAUAGCUCCUGGAAACGGGUGGUAAUGCCGCAUGUGCCCUUCGGGGGAAAGAUUUAUCGCCUUUAGAGCGGCCCGCGUCUGAUUAGCUAGUUGGUGAGGUAAUGGCUCACCAAGGCGACGAUCAGUAGCUGGUCUGAGAGGAUGACCAGCCACACUGGGACUGAGACACGGCCCAGACUCCUACGGGAGGCAGCAGUGGGGAAUCUUGCGCAAUGGGCGAAAGCCUGACGCAGCAUGCCGCGUGAAUGAUGAAGGUCUUAGGAUUGUAAAAUUCUUUCACCGGGGACGAUAAUGACGGUACCCGGAGAAGAAGCCCCGGCUAACUUCGUGCCAGCCGCCGCGGUAA
This 448-nucleotide ribosomal RNA is filed under the name uncultured bacterium. Its description in RNAcentral is "partial 16S ribosomal RNA". It matches the Rfam family "Bacterial small subunit ribosomal RNA", at positions 29 to 523 of the family's 1533-position model. The record is from RNAcentral.